RNAcentral lists this long non-coding RNA (1968 nucleotides) under Equus caballus (horse). RNAcentral describes it as "lncRNA (ENSECAG00000051030.1)". Lineage: Eukaryota; Metazoa; Chordata; Mammalia; Perissodactyla; Equidae. The record is from RNAcentral.
CAGCUCAAAUGAUUUUUAUGUCCUCAUAGGCUGAGGCCACCUUAUAAACAAUUUUCACUCAUUUCAUCACGGGAAGCGCAGGUCCCUGCCUCUUAGGAAGACGCUCAGUUUUUGAGCUGUGUCUUUCUUCAAAUGCAGUAGCCUUUAAGUUUUGUGAUGCUGGCCGUCCAUUUUGGGAUGUAGACAUCGACUGCUGAUAUUUUUAAAAAUAAAGUGAAACCUACACCCUCAUGACGGCUGCCUCACACACUAGAGAGAAGCGUACAUCGAGGGCUCUGCGAGUCCAGGCGGGUGGUCCAGGCCCGGCACGGCGGCGCAGUGACCUCUCAGGGAUCCAGGCUCACUCCGUCUUUCCACUUUGCAUCCUCCUGCACAGAGGUGUUUGUCCUUGUUGCCUCAUGAUUACAAGAGACCUUCUGCACCUCCCUGGCUCACGUCCACACUGCCAGCAGCAACGAGGAAGAAGAGGGUCAAGCUGUGGCAGUCUCUGUUUAAUACCAUAACAAAGAGUCAUCCUGAAAGUUCCACCCAGCAUGGAUGGAGGAAACGGAGAGAAGUGGAUGCAUUCAAGAAAUGUUUAGAAGGGAACAUUAAUAAGACUUGGAAAUGGAUUAGGUAUGAGGAUGAGAGAGGGGGAGGCGACAAGGAUGGCGCUGAGGUUUCUGGUCUGGGUACCAGGGAGCUGUCAGCACCGUUCACUCAGAGAAUGGCGGAAGAGCCUUGGGUUACGGGGGAAGAUCAUGAGUUUGGUUUGGAUGUGCUGAGCAUGAGAUGCCUUUAAAACAUCCUGAAAGAGACGUCACGUGGACAGUUGGGUGCAUUUGCUCUGCUCCUUCCCCCUUAAAGCAGGUUCUUUUGUCAGAAGCAGUGCAGUGUGGCAAAACCAUGGUGAGUGAGACCCUCAGUCAGUCCACAGGUGCUGGCCAGACAGGAGCACGCUGGGCCACAGCUUGAUGUGUCUACUCUGUUGGGGACAAAUCAGUGCCCCCUCCAACACAUGUGACACACACGGUGUUCACAGGCUGCUGGCUGCUGGGCACUCAGAUCAGCAGGAGCCAGGUCAGCCUCAGUGAGAGGAUUUGUUAAAUCUGGUGCAGGUGAGGAGAUUUGGAAAUAAAGUAAACACGCAAAACGGUCGAAAGCGUGACAAUUACAGUGAAAGAAAACGAAGUCUUGUGAUACGUAGCAACACCGGGUGGGGAGACUUCUUCCAGGCGGGUAACCAAGGAGGGCCUGUCAAGGAGACAGGAGACGACAUGAGGCUGAAACCUGCGGGAGAGGAGCAACCAGGUGAGAUGAGAGGCAGGACAUGCAGGGUGGGACAUGGUGCCAUCCCUUCUGUUGCUCUGCAGGCUGUGGGCCGAAGUCCAGUAAACUCCAGGGCCAUGCAGGGACUCUGCAGUCUUCGCCUCUGCGUCAGUUGGGGGUUAGGUUCUGCUAUGAGGAGCAGAGACCCACCUCCAAUGGCUUAAACAAAUUGGAAACUGAAACUGCUCUCUGGAAAUUUUGGCUCCUUGUGCCACAGUGUGAACACGCCAAAAGGGGGUAACUGAUAGCCUGGGGCAAUUGAUUCUGACUUUCAAGGUAAAUAUAAUUGCUCUUUCCAAUGCAGUCCCGGAGGAAUAUAUCCGGAGCCCAAGACAUCCUCCGGGGUUCUUCCCAGUGCUUCCAUAUCCACUGGUAAGUGUUAACGACCGGCUGCUGGAACGAUAUUCACAUGCGUCUCUGAAGCCCCAGGAAUGAAGGUCUGGCUGGGUCCCCUGCUGUGGAUCCUCAACAACCCCACGAAACGGAUAAAGACAAAAAGAACACGGAGCGAGUAUUAGAGGAGGGGAUCGUGAUUACCUACUGCGGUGUCAUCUCCAGUUUCAGAAAGACGAUUGUAGAAUGUUUCCCUGGGUUUUUCUUUCUCUGUCACCAAAGUUGACAAAGUUGAAAUAUUACAAUUACCAAUGCAUCCUAAAAAAG